AACCUGAAUGAUCUGAAGAACAUGAAAUGGUGUGAAGGAACUGUGAAAGGUAUUUUAACUAAUGAUCACUUUUUUCCCUAGUUCAUCUUGUUCCUAAGUUUGACUUUCUGCUAUUUGUUUCAAUUGCAUUUUAAAUGGGUAGAUUAUCGGAUGUAUUUGAAUAUAACGUCUAGCGGCCAAUUUCAAUUGGAUAUCAGAGCUAGGACUUGUCAAAAAUUAUAUACAUUAUAUAUCUGAUUUUAUUUUAAAUCAACCUAAUAAACCAGAAUUUGAACGUGUUAAUCUCUUGAUAACAUAUAAUAAAAAAACAUGCUAACCACCGGGACAUUGUGAGUCGUCUGAAUGAAACAGUCUUCUUUGAUCUUAUUCAUAAAUACCAAGUGUUUAGAGGAAAAGCAGUCAAUUUGACACCUCUGGUUCGCACCGGUCGGAGAUCGUAUCCACGACCCCCUGUACCCAAAGGAAACACGCUACAUUUUCAAAGGUUUUUUUUCUUCAGAAUAAACAUAUAUACAUCGACAAAACAGGCGUCAAUAGGUUCCUCGAUUAUUUAUUAAUUAUUUCUAAAAAUUGAAUUACAAUUUUCUCGUUGUAAAAUUAUAUUUAAUUGUUUUGUUAUAUAUUCAACAAAUGGUCUUUGUUUUUAAUAUUUUCAUUUUAUAAUUAAACUGACUUUUGUCGUUUUUUUUUUUUAUUUAUAGCUAAAGCAGGAGUUACAUAUAUUAGAUGGGGAAGAAAUACUUGCACAGGGGAUGCAACACUUGUGUAUAAUGGUAUGUAACUUUUAUUUCUUCCUCCAUGAUUCUGUAAUUAAGAAUAUAAAGAGUAUUCUAAACUUUCGUAAUUAGAAUGAGCAAAUGGUCAAAUUUUGAUUCAGUUAGAAAUAAUCUUGUAGACUAUUUAUUUAUCAUCCUUAUAGACAGAACGACUUAAAACUUGACAUUUGCUAUAUACAUUUGUCUUAUAGAAGAACGAUUGCCUCUUUUAAACUGUAAAAUUGUAUUGUUAAAAUAUUUCUUAUUGCCAUACUGUAUACUAAACAUCUUUGUGUAUGGAAGUUAACGAUAGUUUUUAUUUUCAUGAUUAAAAUACGAGCAUUAACGAUCAUUGCAAGAUGAUCAAAUGCCUAUUUUUUUUUUAAAUCUGGGAAUAAGAAUUAUAAUCAAACAAAUAAAUAAAUACAGUGAGUGGUCAGUGAGAAUAUUUAUAUUUUAGUUCUGCUCUAAAAUUUAAUUAUGUAGAGAAUAUCUUAUAUUUUUGGAAUUUUAAAAACAUUAUAUUAUACAAUGCGAAGCAACAAAUUAUUCAUUUGUUUUCCUACGGUAAGGGUCAAUAAAUCAUGUAUAUUCAAGGUAAGAGAUGCAACUGAUCUCUCUUUCUCUCUUUUACUCUAUUCAAAAUGCGCCCGUAUUUCGCUUUUGACACCAAAUAAUACUUAAAACUGUUUUGUUUUAGGAUUAAUGCCUGAAUUCAAAAUAUUCAAAUUUCAAUCAUUAGAAACGUUCUGCAUUUACGACGUUCAAAAAUAAAUUUCACUCAUUGAUUUUUUUUUUUUUUUUAGAAUACUGGAAAUAGGAAGGGAUCCCGAAAACAACAUUUUGAACUAGUACUUUAAGCUAAAUUACAAGGCAGAAUAUAUCAAAGGGACACAUACUUUUAGAGUAAAAAACCCAG
RNAcentral lists this long non-coding RNA (1674 nucleotides) under Mytilus galloprovincialis (Mediterranean mussel). The record is from RNAcentral. Lineage: Eukaryota; Metazoa; Mollusca; Bivalvia; Mytilida; Mytilidae.